UGGGUAAUCUUGUGAAACUUCAUCGUGAUGGGGAUAGAGCAUUGCAAUUAUUGCUCUUCAACGAGGAAUCCCUAGUAAGCACAAGUCAUCAGCUUGUGUUGAUUACGUCCCUGCCCUUUGUACACACCGCCCGUCGCUACUACCGAUUGAAUGGCUUAGUGAGACCCUCGGAUUGGUAUUCAGAAGCUUUAACUGGCAUCUGUUUGCUAAGAAGUUGGUCAAACUUGGUCAUUUAGAGGAAGUAAAAGUCGUAACAAGGUUUCCGUAGAUGAACCUGUAGAAGGAUCAUU
This 290-nucleotide ribosomal RNA is filed under the name Funneliformis mosseae. Its description in RNAcentral is "partial 18S ribosomal RNA". It matches the Rfam family "Eukaryotic small subunit ribosomal RNA", at positions 1543 to 1830 of the family's 1831-position model. The record is from RNAcentral. Lineage: Eukaryota; Fungi; Glomeromycota; Glomeromycetes; Glomerales; Glomeraceae.